RNAcentral lists this transfer RNA (102 nucleotides) under Sporisorium scitamineum. RNAcentral's name for it is "transfer RNA-Gly(GCC)". Lineage: Eukaryota; Fungi; Basidiomycota; Ustilaginomycetes; Ustilaginales; Ustilaginaceae. The record is from RNAcentral.
GCAUUGAUAGUGUAGGGGUAUCAUGAGUCGUUGCCACUCAUCGCUCGUCUAAAGUGCGACUACCGAUUCGACUCGACCGGGGUUCGAGUCCCCGUCAAUGCA